This 1243-nucleotide ribosomal RNA is filed under the name metagenome. RNAcentral describes it as "bacterial LSU rRNA". It matches the Rfam family "Bacterial large subunit ribosomal RNA", at positions 1564 to 2817 of the family's 2925-position model. The record is from RNAcentral.
UGAAUACGAGAUGCUACGGCGUCGAAGCAGUCUAUGUCAUACUUCCAAGAAAAGCUCGCACUGUCAUAAACAAAUAAUGCCUGUACCAUAACCGACACAGGUGGGUAGGUAGAGUAUACUAAGGGGCGCGAGAUAACUCUCUCUAAGGAACUCGGCAAAAUGACUCCGUAACUUCGGGAGAAGGAGUGCCUUAUUUAUAAGGUUGCAAUAACAAGAUCCAAGCAACUGUUUAUCAAAAACACAGGUCUCCGCUAAGUCGUAAGACGAUGUAUGGGGGCUGACGCCUGCCCAGUGCCAGAAGGUUAAAGAAGUUGGUUAGCAUUCGCGAAGCUGAUAACUGAAGCCCUGGUGAACGGCGGCCGUAACGAUAACGGUCCUAAGGUAGCGAAAUUCCUUGUCGGGUAAGUUCCGACCCGCACGAAAGGCGUAAUGAUUUGGAUACUGUCUCGGAGAGGGGCUCGGUGAAAUAGACUUGUCUGUGAAGAUGCGGACUACCUGCACCAGGACAGAAAGACCCUAUGAAGCUUUACUGUAACUUGAGAUUGAAAUUGGACUUUACUUGCGCAGUAUAGGUGGGAGGCGUUGAUAAUAUUCUUGCGGGAUUAUUUGAGCCAUCAGUGAGAUACCACUCUUGUAAUGUUAGAUUUCUAACUUUGUAUCAUUAUCUGGUCAAAGGACAGUUUCAGGCGGGCAGUUUGACUGGGGCGGUCGCCUCCUAAACGGUAACGGAGGCGCACAAAGGUUUCCUCUGAACGGGUAGAAAUCGUAUCCAGAGUGUAAAGGCAUAAGGAAGCUUGACUGUGAGACCUACAAGUCGAGCAGGGACGAAAGUCGGUCUUAGUGAUCUGACGGUGCUGAGUGGAAAGGCCGUCACUCAACGGAUAAAAGUUACUCUAGGAUAACAGGCUGAUCUCCCCCAAGAGUUCACAUCGACGGGGAGGUUUGGCACCUCAAUGUCGGCUCAUCGCAUCCUGGGGCGGUAGUACGUCCCAAGGGUUGGGCUGUUCGCCCAUGAAAGCGGUACGCGAGCUGGGUUCAGAACGUCGUGAGACAGUUCGGUCCAUAUCCGGUGUAGGCGUUAGAAUAUUGAGAGGAGCCUUCUUUAGUACGAGAGGACCGAGAAGGACAUACCUCUGGUGUACCAGUUAUCGUGCCAACGGUAAACGCUGGGUAGCUAUGUAUGGAGUGGAUAACCGCUGAAAGCAUCUAAGUGGGAAGCCCACCUCAAGAUAAGUAUUCUCAC